This 1165-nucleotide long non-coding RNA is filed under the name Equus caballus (horse). RNAcentral describes it as "lncRNA (ENSECAG00000047969.1)". Lineage: Eukaryota; Metazoa; Chordata; Mammalia; Perissodactyla; Equidae. The record is from RNAcentral.
AAACCUGAAGCUCAGAGUUCGCUGGAUUGGAAAAAGGCGCCUUGAUCUCUUUUCCCAUUACACCUUGUGAGGGAGACCCUGGUGUGAAACCCUCUUAGGUCUCGUGGAGGGCAGUGGCCUAAUAAUGUCACAAUUGAGGAUGUCAUGGGGGUGACUGUGGAAUCUGUCCUGACGAUCAGGGCCUCACUGACGCCUGGAUGACCUUGAGCAGGCAUUUCCACUGGAAGAUCGUCCCCCUAACAGAGCAUUUGGGAUCAUGAUUUAGACCUGAUAUUGAGUUGAACUUGGCAAGGGAGAUUGAAAUCAAUGACUCCAGUUGUUUGACACCUCUCUGCGUCCACAUCCUUUACUAGCAUCUUCUCUACUUUGCUUUGUCCAAUGCGACAGGAACGUGCUGAUGCAAGCAGAGGUGUGAAAACGUGCUUGGGUGUUUCCACUUCUGCUGUCUUGGACCCCACUUCUGCCAUGAGAACAUGCACAGCUUGCAUGCUGGAGGGAUGUGGAAGAUGCACAGAGAAGAGCUGAGUGAUCCCAGCAGAGGCCAUCCUAGACCAGCCAGCCCCCAGCGAGCUUGUCAGGGGCAGCAGAUGGCUGAGCGAGCCCAGCUGAGGGUCGCCAAGCAGCCUGUGGACUGGUGAGGAAUAAUAUAUGAAUUGCAGCUGUUUUAAGCCAUGAAGGAUUAGUUUGUUAUGCUGCAAUUGUGGAUUGAUAGAUGGUGUAAGCAGAAAACAAUCUUUGCCACCUGCUCUGUGGAUUAUUUCUGGCUCCUGGAUAAAAAUCCCAAGUUUGGGGGAGGGCUAGAGUGAGUUCUUGUUCGUGUCCAUGUUCAAGUUCAUGUUCACCACCAGUUACUUUCAAGUGUAAGAACCAUCUCUGUUAAGUAAUUAGGAUGUGCAGUCCGGUGUAACAAUCAAAACGUCAAAACUUUAUCAAAGAUAGAAGGUUCUGCCCUCUCCUGGCUGAGAAUGGUGGUGGGGAGGAGGAUGCGGUUGGAGUCUCUGUCUCCUUGCCCGGCCUCAUCAGGCAGUUGGAGCCAAGCAGGAGGGACAAACAAAGACGCCUGUGGCAGGUGCAGUUCCCUUCCUACACUAGCGCUCAGUGGCCCCAGCGGCUUUUCAAACCCGGCUCGCCUCCUCUGGCCUCCUUCCGUGUGCUUCUUGGCCCU